RNAcentral lists this long non-coding RNA (526 nucleotides) under Gossypium barbadense (sea-island cotton). Its description in RNAcentral is "long non-coding RNA (GBAR_LNC007904)". The record is from RNAcentral. Lineage: Eukaryota; Viridiplantae; Streptophyta; Magnoliopsida; Malvales; Malvaceae.
GGAGACUAACGAAUUUGGUUGAAUUGGAUCUAUCCUCCAAUAAUCUUGUUGGUCCAAUACCAUCUUCUGUCAGCAACUUAACUAAUCUUACCUCGUUGUUCCUUCAACUCAACCAACUUAAUGGAUCCAUUCCACAAGAUAUUGGGAGACUAACGAAUUUGGUUGAAUUGGAUCUAUCCUCCAAUAAUCUUGUUGGUCCAAUACCAUCUUCUGUCAGCAACUUAACUAAUCUUACCUCGUUGAUCCUUCAACUCAACCAACUUAAUGGAUCCAUUCCAGAAGAUAUUGGGAGACUAACGAAUUUGGUUGAAUUGGAUCUAUCCUCCAAUAGUCUUGUUGGUCCAAUACCAUCUUCUGUCAGCAACUUAACUAAUCUUACCUCGUUGAUCCUUCAACUCAACCAACUUAAUGGAUCCAUUCCAGAAGAUAUUGGGAGAUUAACGAAUUUGGUUAAUUUGGAUCUAUCCUCCAAUAGGCUUUCAGGUCCCUCUCUCAGCCAGUUAAAUACAUCGGUUGCUCUCUACGA